This 465-nucleotide ribosomal RNA is filed under the name Vreelandella stevensii. Its description in RNAcentral is "partial 16S ribosomal RNA". It matches the Rfam family "Bacterial small subunit ribosomal RNA", at positions 338 to 795 of the family's 1533-position model. The record is from RNAcentral. Lineage: Bacteria; Pseudomonadati; Pseudomonadota; Gammaproteobacteria; Oceanospirillales; Halomonadaceae.
CCUACGGGUGGCUGCAGUGGGGAAUAUUGGACAAUGGGCGAAAGCCUGAUCCAGCCAUGCCGCGUGUGUGAAGAAGGCCUUCGGGUUGUAAGGCACUUUCAGUGGGGAAGAAAGCCUUGGGGCUAAUACCCUCGAGGAAGGACAUCACCCACAGAAGAAGCACCGGCUAACUCCGUGCCAGCAGCCGCGGUAAUACGGAGGGUGCGAGCGUUAAUCGGAAUUACUGGGCGUAAAGCGCGCGUAGGCGGUCUGAUAAGCCGGUUGUGAAAGCCCCGGGCUCAACCUGGGAAUGGCAUCCGGAACUGUCAGGCUAGAGUGCAGGAGAGGAAGGUAGAAUUCCCGGUGUAGCGGUGAAAUGCGUAGAGAUCGGGAGGAAUACCAGUGGCGAAGGCGGCCUUCUGGACUGACACUGACGCUGAGGUGCGAAAGCGUGGGUAGCAAACAGGAUUAGAUACCCGAGUAGUC